AUACUGAGGGUGCAAGCGUUAAUCGGAAUUACUGGGCGUAAAGCGCACGUAGGCGGUUUAUUAAGUCAGAUGUGAAAGCCCUGGGCUUAACCUGGGAACUGCAUUUGAGACUGGUAGGCUAGAGUAUGGUAGAGGAUAGUGGAAUUCCGGGUGUAGCGGUGAAAUGCGUAGAUAUCCGGAGGAACAUCAGUGGCGAAGGCGGCUAUCUGGACCAAUACUGACGCUGAGGUGCGAAAGCGUGGGGAGCAAACAGGAUUAGAAACCCUUGUAGUCC
Molecule: ribosomal RNA, 274 nt
Filed under: uncultured bacterium
Lineage: Bacteria
Description: partial 16S ribosomal RNA
Rfam family: Bacterial small subunit ribosomal RNA
Source: RNAcentral